UACCUAGAGCUAAUGCACUGAAGAAAAUGUC
RNAcentral lists this non-coding RNA (31 nucleotides) under Rattus norvegicus (Norway rat). Lineage: Eukaryota; Metazoa; Chordata; Mammalia; Rodentia; Muridae. The record is from RNAcentral.